GUGCUCGCGGCGACAGCACACACACACUAAAACUGGAGCGAUACAGAGAAGAGUAGCAUGGCCCCUGUGCAAGGAUGACAUGCAUAUUCAUGAAACGUUCCAUUUUUUU
Molecule: small nuclear RNA, 109 nt
Organism: Callithrix jacchus (white-tufted-ear marmoset)
Lineage: Eukaryota; Metazoa; Chordata; Mammalia; Primates; Cebidae
Source: Ensembl